CCUACGGGAGGCAGCAGUGGGGAAUAUUGCACAAUGGGGGAAACCCUGAUGCAGCCAAGUCGCGUGAGGGAAGACUGCCCUAUGGGUUGUAAACCUCUUUUGUCAGGGAGCAACGCCGGCUACGUGUAGCCGGACUGAGAGUACCUGAAGAAAAAGCAUCGGCUAACUCCGUGCCAGCAGCCGCGGUAAUACGGAGGAUGCGAGCGUUAUCCGGAUUUAUUGGGUUUAAAGGGUGCGUAGGCGGAAUGCCAAGUCAGCGGUAAAAUCGCGGGGCUCAACCUCGCUCCGCCGUUGAAACUGGCGUUCUUGAGUGGGCGAGAAGUAUGCGGAAUGCGUGGUGUAGCGGUGAAAUGCAUAGAUAUCACGCAGAACCCCGAUUGCGAAGGCAGCCUUCCGGCGCCCUACUGACGCUGAGGCACGAAAGUGCGGGGAUCGAACAGGAUUAGAUACCCUGGUAGUC
This 460-nucleotide ribosomal RNA is filed under the name uncultured bacterium. Its description in RNAcentral is "partial 16S ribosomal RNA". It matches the Rfam family "Bacterial small subunit ribosomal RNA", at positions 338 to 795 of the family's 1533-position model. The record is from RNAcentral.